AGCUACUGUAAAUCAUAGUGCAGGGAACAGUCAGAGUACACAGGGAAAGGCUCUAACUGAUGAGACUGAAGAAAUCCCACCUAUCUUAGUGUUGUUAAUAUUGGAAGGGAAAGAGAGACCAUGGAAGAGGUAGGGUAAGACAGACAGUGGAGUCCUCAUCAGGGCCCCUCCUUUUUCAGGGUAUAACCUUGAGGGGUGUGUGUGUGUGCACGCACGUGUGUGUGGAUGUACGUGCGUAUACCACAGAAGUCAGAUAGGUGUGAUAUAACUAAGAGCAUUGGAACUAGUGGCCUAGGUCCAGGGCCUAGGGAUGCUUCAAACCUCUAGGAGAAGUUGUACAUUUGGGUUAGUGCUAAGUCUAACAAGAGCCAGGAGCUGUACAGUGUAGCAGUGUCUGAGAAGUAGUCUAGCUAGAUGGUUCCCUUGACCUGUGAAGAGUACACAAGGAAUUUAGAAGUUUCUGCUUGGCUUGGUGAUGGGGCUCAGAUGUGUUGAGAAGCUUUGUGGGCUAGCAGAGUUGGGGUUGAGAUAAAGAAAAGGCCAGGUAGGAGUAGAAAUUUUGCAACCACAAGCAAAUAACCAAUAGUCUGAACUUUAAUAGCACUAGAUAUGGGUAUGAUAUCCCAAAAGAUCUGAUGGGAUCAAUAACACCUCUGUGUGUACCAUUCUAGGGACCAGACAUGAGGGUGAUGAAUAAGGAACGUGCUGAAAAGAUUCAAGGGCCCUACUCCCCAGCUACCACAGACCGAUAUAACCCCCUCUCCAGGAUCCAAAUGCCAUUCCUGGGGUGGAUUAGAAGGAAGAGAAAGCCAAAAUCCUAAGCAUUUACCCUCAAGACAUCAAGAUACACGAAAGAGACUGGUGGUUGCCUUUUUGUGUCUGGUGUUGCUGUUCAGGACUGGUGGAAGCUGAAUUUUUGUCAGGAGCUCUGCUACCAUCACUUAUGAAGUGAGCUACUGGGCAUCAUUUAUUCCAGAGGGUUCCUCUGUGAAACAGCUGAAAACCACAUGCUCUCAGAUGUUCAUGACCUCCAGCUACAAACCCCAACAGGGGCGAGACGGUUGCAUGCAGUCUUCCUGUCCUCCACCCAUUGAGUAAAUUACUUCACUUACAAUGACAUUCUCCAGGGACAUCCAUGUUGCUGCAAAUGGCAUUAUGUUGUCAUUUUUAUUGCUGAAUAGUAUUCCAUUGUAUAAAUAUACCACAUCUUCUUUAUCCAGUCAUCUGUCAAUGGACAUUUAGGCUGUUUCCAUGUCUUGGCUAUUGUAAAUAGUGCUGCUAUGAACAUUGGGGUGCAGGCGUCUUUUUGAAGUAGGGUUCCUUCUGUAUUUUUGCCCAGGAUUGGGAUUACUGGGUCAUAUGUUAAAUCUAUUCCUAGUCUUUUGAGGAAUCUCCACAUCUCCAGAAUAUAUAGCAGCUCACAUGACUUAAUAAGAAAAAACCAAACAACCCAAUCCAAAAAUGGGCAGACUAAACAAGCAAUUCUCCAAUGAAGACACAUGAAUGAUCAAUAGGCACAUGAAAAAAUCCUCAGUAUCACUAAUUAUCAGAGAAAUGCAAAUCAAAACUACAAUGAGGCAUCACCUCACACCAGUUAGAAUGGCCAUCAUUCAAAAGUCCACAAAUGAUAAAUGCUGGAGAGGCUGUGGAGAAAAGGGAACCCUCCUACACUGCUGGUGGGAAUGCAGUUUGGUGCAGCCAUUAUGGAAAACAGUAUGGAGAGUUCUCAAAAGACUAGGAAUAGACUUACCAUAUGACCCAGUAAUCCCACUCCUGGGCAUAUAUCCAGGAGGUAAUUCUUAUUUCCCUCCUCCCAAUAACAUUAUAAAUCACCAUAUCACAAUGAGUCAUCAUCAGAUGACUCCAGAAGUCCCUUACUAAAUUGUAUGUGACAUUU
This is a long non-coding RNA of Camelus dromedarius (Arabian camel), 1897 nucleotides long. RefSeq lists it as uncharacterized. The record is from RefSeq and is a predicted model, not a curated record. Lineage: Eukaryota; Metazoa; Chordata; Mammalia; Artiodactyla; Camelidae. The transcript has 3 exons.